AUGACAAGCGUGACCAAAAAUCAGUUUGGUUUCAUGCCUGGGAGGUCGACCAUGGAAGCCAUUUUCUUGGUACGACAACUUAUGGAGAGAUAUAGGGAACAAAAGAAGGACUUGCAUAUGGUGUUCAUUGACUUGGAGAAGGCCUAUGAUAAGAUGCCGCGGAAUGUCAUGUGGUGGGCCUUGGAGAAACACAAAGUUCCAGCAAAGUACAUUACCCUCAUCAAGGACAUGUACGAUAAUGUUGUGACAAGUGUUCGAACAAGUGAUGUCGACACCGAUGACUUCCCGAUUAAGAUAGGACUGCAUCAGGGGUCAGCUUUGAGCCCUUACCUUUUUGCAUUGGUGAUGGAUGAGGUCACAAGGGAUAUACAAGGAGAUAUCCCAUGGUGUAUGCUCUUUGCGGAUGAUGUGGUGCUAGUUGACGAUAGUCGGACGGGGGUAAAUGGGAAGUUAGAGUUAUGGAGACAAACCUUGGAAUCAAAAGGGUUUAGGCUUAGUAGAACUAAAAUCGAGUACAUGAUGUGCGGUUUUAGUACUACUAGGUGUGAGGAGGAGGAGGUUAGCCUUGAUGGCCAGGUGGUACCUCGGAAGGACACCUUUCGGUAUUUGGGGUCAAUGUUGCAGGAGGAUGGGGGUAUUGAUGAAGAUGUGAACCAUCGAAUCAAAGCCGGAUGGAUGAAGUGGCGCCAAGCUUCUGGCAUUCUCUGUGACAAGAGAGUGCCACAAAAGCUAAAAGGCAAGUUCUACAGGACGGCGGUUCGACCCGCAAUGUUGUAUGGCGCGGAGUGUUGGCCGACUAAAAGGCGACAUGCUCAACAGUUAGGUGUGGCAGAGAUGCGUAUGUUGAGAUGGAUGUGUGGCCACACGAGGAAGGAUCGAGUCCGGAAUGAUGAUAUACGAGAUAGAGUUGGGGUAGCACCAAUUGAGGAGAAGCUUGUCCAACAUCGUCUGAGAUGGUUUGGGCAUAUUCAGCGCAGGCCUCCAGAAGCUCCGGUGCAUAGCGGACGGCUAAAGCGUGCGGAGAAUGUCAAGAGAGGGCGGGGUCGACCGAAUUUGACAUGGGAGGAGUCUGUUAAGGGAGACCUGAAGGAUUGA
This 1095-nucleotide ribosomal RNA is filed under the name Triticum aestivum (bread wheat). RNAcentral describes it as "partial small subunit ribosomal RNA". Lineage: Eukaryota; Viridiplantae; Streptophyta; Magnoliopsida; Poales; Poaceae. The record is from RNAcentral.